CUGCUGACUUCGUUUGCUUGCGUAGGUAUCGUGUAUACCCUUUUACACAGCAGGCUGGUACGGCAAACGGUACCCCGUUCAGGUCAGCCAUCAUUGCGAUCGUUCCAAACUUGUGCGAAACGCUUGGGAUUCCAAUCGGGGGAUCGAGAUGGCUGGGGAAUCUAGCGAGGAGGCCUGUUAGCUGCGACCUAUCUAACCAGGGAGGUCAUCGAAAAGGUGGCUUGACCAGGUCUAGGCAGACUUGUGGAGCAUUGGUGUCUCGAGUUGGAGAUCUGCAGCACAAGACCGGGCGUUAUAGCGCAACAUUGUGUUCACGGCACGAGUCGACCGACGGCUCUAGUCCGUUUUUGGUCAAAACGGUAGGCCCUGGGGACUGCCACCGGGCUGAACGUGUUAAAACCAAAGUUGGUAUAAUGUAUCGGUGGGCUUAUCCCAAACGAUUUUCCACUUAAAAGGUAGAAAAAGUAUAGCAAUGGCUUGCCACAUGCUGUGACGGAUUAACACGAGUAUUUGGCACCUUGGCAUUACAAUUGUUAGCACGAAAACAACGAAAAGUAAAUAAAUAAUAGGUUGUCACCGAGUGACAGCGAGAACCGAGCUAGAUAGAACGUGGUGUGAGCAGAAAGCGCAGGUAAUUUAAAUCCCCACCUGUAGAGGGUAUCCACGAAAAUAUCCACGAACAAGGCUGUUGACCCAACACCCGAAAGCCCGAAACUUGUGCCAUCGCAAAACAGGGAAUAUGCUGGAGCGAGCAAAUUUUAAAAGGCUGCAAUUUUUGGAACAGAUUACAAAAGCAAAUAAAAUUGUACCGUGCCGUGCUCAGCACAGUACAAUAUGUACCGAAACGCUGACGAACAUGCGGAACAAUAUCCUGAAGCUACAGCAGCCAACAAGAAAAAUACCUUCAUAGAUGACUAAUUUGACAGCUGCGAUGCGUUCAGUGAGGCACAGGAAAGGUCAAUGCACGUAAAGCUCAUCCACUCGGAAGCAGGGUUUAAAAUCUGCAAUUGGCUUAGCAACGAGGAUGCUGUGCUAGAAAAAUUGUCAGAGGGACCGCGCGAGAAACAGCGCGUCAUUGACUUCGGGCAGGAGGAAAAACAUCCCCGCGUACUCGGGUGGAUCUGGGACCCUGUAACCGACAACUUCAGAUUCUUCAUGAAGCGGCACGACGAGCUAAAACCCUUUGCCAUAGGAGAAAAACGACUAACCAAACGCAUGGUGUUGCACAUUAUCAUGAGCCUUUUCGACCCGUUUGGCUUGCUAGCUCACCCGCUAGCUUGCUAGACACCCGAGGGGUGAUUCAAAGUUCCAAAUCGACCACGUUCUGAUUGACUGAAGGCACUUCUCGUAUAUUAUCGACGCUAAAACGUGUAAAGGCGCAAGCGUCGACUCGGACCAAUUACUGGUCAUAGUAAAGCUGCGCCAGAAACUCUCCGUGGUUAACAAUCAACAGAGUCAGCUCACCCCAAGGCUCAAACUGGACCGGCUGAAGUGUGCUGAUGUGGAGGAGGGGUACGUGACAGCGCUCGGGGAAGCGCUACCGGCCGACAACAACAUUGCCGCGAUGCCCCUCGCAGACCACUGACGUAUGGUGGAACAAACCAUCAACACUGCAGCCGAACACAAUAUCGGCCGCUUACCACGUAGGGAGAAAAAGCAAUGGUUUGACGAAGAAUGCAGACGAGCACUAUCUGAGAAGAAUGCAGCGCGCGCCCGCAUGCUACAGCAUGAAACCCGUCAGAACGUGGAGGUCUGGAUCUGGCUGGACCAGGUGAAGCGAGACCUGACGGAGAUCGGGUGUCUGCAUGGAUGGGAGGCUGCAGCCAGGGAUCGAGCAUCCUGGAGAAUAAUUGUUGACCGGGCCAUGUCACAUCGACGUGCUCUAUCGUGACAACACAAACUUUCCUAGCUACAUGUUUUCUCGAAUGCGAGUGAACAGGCAUACGAAUGUGCAGCCUACCUCAGAUUUGACACGGAAAAUACACUCCCUAGUGAUGGUGCGCAGUAAGGUAGCACCUUUGAAGCACCAGUCGACCUUGACUAGAACUGGAGGCGGAACUGUUGGGAGCAAGGCUGGCACGAACUGUUCGCGAAAGCCACGAUAUCCAGGUAUCGGAAAAGUUUCUCCAUAUCGACUCUGAAGUGGUGCUGAGCUGGAUUCGGUGUCCAACACGCGAAUUUAAGCAGUUCGUAGCUUGUCGCGUGAGCGAAACAAUAUCGUUGACUGAGCCAGAGAACUACAUGCCCGUCAUGCGUUCAAGCCCCAAAUGGAUCGUGCCGCCAUACGUAGGACUGCUAUGAAGGGUAAUUCAUAAGUCACUGAAAAGCCAAGCCCACAAGUGGUACAAGCAAACCUUGACCGACAACGGUUGUUGAGUCAAAAGAAGAGCCAGAGAACUGGAGGCAUGUACCUACGAAAGAAAACCCAGCCGACUGUCUUACCAAGCGCUGCCGUUACACCACCAACGAAACCCAAGGUAGAUGGCUUAAUGGGCCGAGGUUUCUCUACCUACCCAAAGAAGACUAGGCAGCACAGAGCGCUGCAGUAAUUACCCGUGAGGAGCGACGGGAAUACCAUCUGACACAUCACAACGUGUCAUGCGAUGAACCGGAAAUUGAUGUUACCCGUUUCUACAGGUGGAAAAGAAUUUUGCGAGUAACUGCUUUGUGCACCAAAUCAGUACUAAUUGCCAACGAAAGGCCAAAGGUUUUCCUAUCAUCUCCGAAAAUGCGACUGAGUCACAGGCAUGCUGCUUAAAAGGACAUCUGCAGUCUGAUAAACAGCCAAUAAGCACGGAGGAAUACCUAAAGACCGAGUAAACACUUUGGCGCAUGGCUCAAAGAGACCUUCGCCUUCGACAAGAAGAUGAGGGACGUAAACAAAAAAGGCGAAGUGGAUCGCUCAAGUCCAUUAUAAGCAGCAACACCUAUAUUAGAUGAAUAAGGUAUUCAGGAAAGUGGAUGGUAGGACCGCCAAGGCGAAUUUCGCACCGUACGACACGCAAUUUUCCAUAAUUCUCCCAAAUCAGCAUUUAAUAAUAACCUUAUUGAUCCACGAUUACCACUCGAGAUAUGGUCAUGCGAAUCGCGAGACGGUGAUAAACGAGAUCAGACAAAGGUCCCACAUUCCUCAUCUGCGAGCAGCUGUUGAUAGGUCCGCGAGAAAUUGCCAGUGCUACAAAAUAAAGAAGAGUCAGUCUAAGAAUCCACGCAUGGCGCCGCUUCCGGCUGCAAAACUUACCGUAUACGUCCGAGCGUUCAGUAACUCAGGCAUCGACUACUUGGGACCGUUAGACAUCGUUAGCGCAAACAAAAUAGGUAUGUUGCCGUCUUCACCUGCCUCGUGACCCGUGCUGUACAUAGCCUCAUCACCACGGCGUGCAUUAUGGCUAUAACACGGUUUAUUGGCAGGAGAGGGCCACCCACAGGGAUGAAGAGGCGCCAGCAACGAGCUAAAAAUACAGUUAGCAAACACUCACCAUAGCUGCGCGUACACUUUCACCAACGCUAACACCAGGUGAAACUUUAACCCACCGUCCGUACCACACAAGGGCGGCGUUUGGGAGCGCAUAGUGCGCAGUGUCAAGGAAGGCAUGAGUGCACUGGAUGACGGACGCAGAGUAAACGAUGAAACUCUCCUAACAACUCUAGCCGAAGUCGAAUUUCUGAUAAAUACGCGACCACUCGUGUAUCACCCGCAAGUAUCUGAUUCAGAAGCACUUUCUCCUAGGCCAUUCGUCUGGUCUGAAGCAGCACAAUCGAUGGUAUCCGGAUCUUACUGACGCGUUAAAGACAGCAUGUGGGUACGCUGGGUGAUGGAAUAUUGUCCAAAUCUCAGCCGUCGGACGAAAUGGCGAGAGGAAAAUCCAUCAUUGCGUGUCGGGGACUUCGUCUUCAUCGCAGAAGGACACCGGAAAGACUGGGCACGCGCUGAAGUAAAAUAAGUGCUCACCGGUAGUGACGGCAGAGUAAGGCAUGCGAUUGUGCGUACAGCGCAGAGCAAGCGCGUGAAACGGCCAGUACAGAAGUUAGCUAAGUUGCCAGUAGAAGUUGAAAGCAGUAGUUGAAUUAAGAAAGUAUAUAGGAAAGUUUUCGAUGCAAUCCGAAGUGAAUCCGAAUCCACGUGGCGGGGGAUAUUAGCACGAAAACAAUGAAAAGUAAAUAAAUAAUAGGCUGUCACCGGGUGACAGCGAGAACCAAGCUAGAUAGAACGUGGUGUGAGCAGACAGCACAAGUAAUUAAAAGCCCCACCUGCAGAGGGUAGCAUCUUUUGAAGAUAUCCACGAACAGGGCUGUUGACACAACACCCGAAAGCCCGAGACUUGCGCCAUCGAGAAACAGGGAAUAUGCUGGUCAUGGUCAGUAGCAUUCGACAGCGGGAAUAGUGCGACCAAUUUGUUUUUGUGCAACGACCAAAUUUUAAAGGACUGCAAUUUUUGAGAAAAAGUACAAAGUCAAAUAAAGUUCAUCCUGGAUCAAAAAUAAUUUUGCACGAUUUUCUUCUAGCCGCUAACACCUUUUGUGUACAAUGUGAACAAGAAUGUGACGGUUCAUGGGGCAGGGUAUAUGCUCACCUUAAACUGUGGGAACCUUGGGAGAAAAGAAGCGUUCCGGAAGAAGAACUGUCAGAGAGAACACACGGGAAGCCAACGAGCAAGGCAGCAAUUCACGAGGUAGAAAUAAACACAGUGAACUACGAUAAAAAUAUUGUCCAAUUAAUUACAAAGGCCCUAAGCGGUCACACGAAUUGCCAACGCCAAAUAAAGAUUCGGCAAUGAUGAUGCAAAUGUUGCAGAUGACGCAACAGCUGAUGCAGCAACAGCAGCAACAGAUGUAGCAACCGCAACAACAGAUACAGCAGCAGCAGCAAAUCUUGUCACAAAUGCUGCGACAACCACAGAAUGCAGUACAACCGAGCGUUAUGCAUGGAUGUGUCUACACAUUUUACAAAGAAAAACAUAAACCAACAGCAAUAAUGACUAUUAUUUAUAGAUUCAGAAGUAAUUAUAUUGUCAAAUAACAACUGUGAAAUCCAUUCCAGUUGUGUCCAAAACAGUUCAAAGCAUGUUUACGCUUUUUUAUUGCAUAUUGGUACUGACCCACACACACCUGUUUUGCAGCAACUAUGAAAUUACAUUCUCUACAUUCAUUUUGUUUUGUUUAUAAAAUCAGACGCAUCACGACGUGCGUCGAAAUAGAAAUUUUUCUACUUUGACCCUGCGUCGUUAACGCAUGCGUCUUUCAAAUCCCAUACAUUUUGGCAAAAUCGCAACGCUUUGCGUCGGAACAAGUACCGCUCUCUAACAAUCCCGAGCUGAUCAUGGACGUGUUGUCGAGCAGUAUCACCGAGUUCCGAUACGAAGCGGAGUCCGAUGUUACUGUUGCUACAUGGUAUGCUCGGUAUGUGGAUCUGUUCGCCCAGGAUGCCCUCCGUCUAGAUGAUGCAGCGAAAGUGCGCUUGCUGGUACGCUAGCUAAGCAGCGCGGAGCACGCGCGCUACGCCAGUUUCAUUCUGCCGAGUGUUCCUUGCGACAUACCAUUGGCGACGAAACGGUGAGGAAGCUGACCGUUCUAUUUGGGAGAGCGGAAACUCUUGUAAGAAAGCGGUAUAAGUGCUUGCAGCUGAUGAAAUCGCGCAUCGAGGAUUUAUUAUCAUUUGUUUGCCGUGUGUCUGGGACACCGCGAGCGUUGAGCAGGGAAAAGAUGUAAGUUUCCAGGCAUUAAAUGGUAUUAACGAAUUUCUGCUCAAUUUUAGAGACGUUGCGAAGGCCUCGGAGUCCAUUCGUGUAUUGAAGCAUUUCUGGUCAGCAACAGAAAAACCACAGGAGCAGUUAACGAUCCCUCCGCUGUUAUUAAAGCAAAAGAUGCAAAACCAAGGACGGAAAGCUUUGAUGGUUUCGGAAGCGGUGAAUUUGGAUACACAUUUUCAGCGCAGUGAAAUCGUUUAUGCCAAAAUAUUCACACGGUACUCGUGGAAAUGGGUCUUGGCGCGAGUAACAAAAGUACUGGGCAGCUUAGUUUUCGAGGUUGAGAUGGACGAUCAUCGGGUUCAUCGUCGUCAUUUGAACCAGCUGCGGAAGCGUAAUUCCCUGAACGUACUAGGGUUGAGUGAUUCUGCAAGGCAAGUCCUUUAAAAUCAACUGUGAUGCGGCUUUUUCGUUACUUUCUUCUACAUUCGCUCGGAAAUGAUGUUUCCUAUCGUUUUAGUUGGCCAUGUUCCCAUUUUAAACUUAAAUAAUAUCUUUUUUAUAUAAAA
Molecule: long non-coding RNA, 6256 nt
Organism: Anopheles gambiae (African malaria mosquito)
Lineage: Eukaryota; Metazoa; Arthropoda; Insecta; Diptera; Culicidae
Exons: 3
Source: RefSeq, a predicted model, not a curated record